GGGAUAAAGCCAUUUAUUUCAGUAGGGACAGUCCUGAUGGGCUGUUUUAGCUCUAAAUGCUCCAUGGGGUGGUCAAGACUGUCCCUUAGAAAAUGACAUGGUGAUAUUGCAGCUUCCUUUUUCCCUCCUUCUAAUCCUUGGUUUUUUUGUUUUGUUUUAUUUGUUUUUUCUUUUCCUUCCACAGAUUUUGAUACCAAGAACACCUCAUAAUAAAUGUGUUGGCCUCUAAACUCUCUAUCAGACAGUGCUUUCCAGAGAACUCAACCUGUGACUUAUAAGUAGAACAUGAAGUUCUUAAGGGCAGCGAUCUUCGGCUAUCUUGCUCACAGAUAUCCAUCAGUUCCCAGUGCCUGGAAUGGUCUCUGGCAAAUAAUCAAUUCCUAAUAAAUACUUGAUGAUUAUAUACAACUUCAUCUGCAUGGUGCCAAAUGCCAAGGAACAAAAUAAGAUAAUUGUAGAAACAGUGUUGAACUUCCAAACCAAGAGUCCCCUAACAGUUUUUACCAUAAACCAACUGAUAUAGAUAAGCAGAAGUUGCUGUAGAUACAGCGACUUCAUUCAUUGUUGCAACAUUUAUGGAGGGCCUACUAGGUUGGGGGGAAAAGAUAAAGAAGAAAAACCACCUUUUCUCAAGAAGCUCACCGUAUAAUUAUUGGAAAGAAAUCAAGUCAUCAGUGAUGACAUCAUAAUGACAAGUACAAGGAUAUUGAACACAAGAGGCUAUGGCAACACAUGAGAAAAACAAAACAAACCAGUAAGUCCAGCCUUAGAGAGAGUUCUUCUCAGAGAAAGUGACAUCUGUGGUGAUGUGUUAGAGAACUACUGCAUGCCUUUAAGGGCACAGAUUGAAGCCCAUCUAUCUGGGUUCAAAUCCCAGCAUCACACACCAGAGACAGUUUGCCAACGUCUUGUUUCCAGUGAAGGCUCUCUUUUUUGUCAGAAAACCCUUGUGACAAUUCCACAGGCUGCGUCCAAAAUUUUGCAGGUUUCUCCCAAUGAAAAAUCAACCAGAUCAUCAAAAGACAGACAUUUUACCCACCCCCUCGGGAUGAAAAUGAUUUUGGAAAAGCAGGAGACAACUGAAAUAAGGAGAAACAAGCUUCCAGAGCAAGGUCCUAACACAACCAGGCGCGGGAGACAGUUCCUAGGCCAAAGAAGAAUGAAUAAUAACUCAUGGCAAACAGCUGGCGUCAGACAGCCAUCAUCUCCUGUAAAUGCCUGA
Molecule: long non-coding RNA, 1222 nt
Filed under: Mustela putorius furo (domestic ferret)
Lineage: Eukaryota; Metazoa; Chordata; Mammalia; Carnivora; Mustelidae
Description: lncRNA (ENSMPUG00000026647.1)
Source: RNAcentral